UACGGAGGAUGCGAGCGUUAUCCGGAUUCAUUGGGUUUAAAGGGUGCGUAGGCGGACUAUUAAGUCAGUGGUGAAAUCCUGCAGCUUAACUGCAGAACUGCCAUUGAUACUGAUAGCCUUGAGUUUGGUUAAGGUAGGCGGAAUGUGUAAUGUAGCGGUGAAAUGCUUAGAUAUUACACAGAACACCAAUUGCGUAGGCAGCUUACUGAGCCGACACUGACGCUGAGGCACGAAAGCGUGGGGAUCGAACAGGAUUAGAAACCCGUGUAGUCC
This 273-nucleotide ribosomal RNA is filed under the name uncultured prokaryote. Its description in RNAcentral is "partial 16S ribosomal RNA". It matches the Rfam family "Bacterial small subunit ribosomal RNA", at positions 524 to 796 of the family's 1533-position model. The record is from RNAcentral.